Molecule: long non-coding RNA, 3078 nt
Filed under: Vitis vinifera (wine grape)
Lineage: Eukaryota; Viridiplantae; Streptophyta; Magnoliopsida; Vitales; Vitaceae
Description: long non-coding RNA (VVIN_LNC004390)
Source: RNAcentral
AGAGAAGCAUAUGUUAGUCUAAUAUUUCAUCAAAUGUCACACACUUCCUCUCAUUUCUAGUUUUCUCAGGAAAAUUAAGACGGGUUAAAAAUGGUCUUCUCAGCCAUAUUAAGUUGCUUUGUGCCAUCAUCUUCCUCGUCCCGAGUCUUCAAUGAUGCUGGUGGGUCUAGUGUGAAGGAACCUAAGAGCAAGUCAUCGAAAUCUUCAUCAAGAGCUCCGAUCCCGGUCUCUUACUUCCCUGUUAACUCAUACCUCUCUCGCUUGUAGUGAUUAAUUUCAUGGCAAGGUGGAGUUAGAAUUUGAAGAAUAUCAAUCGAUUAUUCAUUCAGUCUAGGUAUCAUAUGAUGGGGUUCUUCAUCAUGCAGUUGCUUGAGGAGCGAUGAUGGAGUUUGUUUUAAUGUACAGUUUGAUGAUUAAUUUGCAAUAAUUUGAUUGAAGAAUAUUGUAUUAGCUAGAUCUUCAUCUUGUUAAUUUCCUCCAACUGCAUGCAAUGAAACAGGUGUUUGAUGAUACCAUGGAAUUACCUGCAAAUAAAUAAGACAUCAAAACCAAUCUGAAAAUUCAGAAACAGCAAAAAAUUAAGUUCAGUUGGCCGGGGAUUCCAUUGGAAAUUAAGAAUCGGUACUUGAAAUGGAAAUUAGUGAUUACCAUAUGGAUAACAGCUAAUAAAACCCCAGAAUCAAUUAGGGUUUAUCAUCAUAUAUUAAGCAAAAACUACGUGCAUUAUACAGAUGAUGAUUGGUAAAGGAAGAAGUCUUAAAAAUGCAUGCCAAUGGAAAAAUUAGGGUGAAAUUUGAUCAACAGAGUGAUGAUUAGGUAUGCAUGAUGGGAUUUUCCCAAUCCGUCCAUGAUGAUAAAAGCCUAUUAUUCUUGUAAACAUGUACUAAAAGAAAAAGGAAAAAUUAAGCCCUCCUACUUUUCCUUUUCACCCCCCAAAAAGUCUCCACUAUGCACCUCAAAUCAAACCUAAAAAUCUCUAUCACUCUCUUUGUGUCCAUUGGUUAAGAAGUACUAAUUUCAAUAUUGUGAUAUCUCACAAGUAUAGAAAAAAAGUUUUUAACACUAUAUAUACACGAACUCCUUUUAAUCUAAUAAAGUCAUGAGUAUCUGUCAUACUAAGAACAAACAAUAUCUAUGUGAGAGAAAAAAAGUUGUUAUAAAUAGUAUUAGAGUUUAUCUUUGAUUUCGUUGUAGAAGUUUGUUUGACCCCACGAGGGGUAUCUGUUUCUUUAAUCCCACAAUCCUACUGAACAUAGUUAAGACGUUGUAUUCGUAUGAGAGUCUAUUCAUGUAUUAAUUCCUCUUAACCUAAUACACUACUUAUAAAGUUGUGAGUACGUAUUAAACUUAGAAUAUGUACUCAUAGUAGGUCAUUACAAAUAUUUAUGCGGACUUACAUUUAAAUCCAAUAAAAUAGUGUUACACAAAUAUUAUAUAAGUAUGAAACACACUCUCAUUUGAGUAUAUAUAUAUAUAUAUAUAUAUAUAUGUACACUACCGAAUAAUGGUUCCUUAAUUUGAUUAUAUGUCUAAACUAGACAAUUGAUAAAAAAAAUACUUUGAAAUGAAAUUGAUGUAAAAGAAAAUAAUGAGUUAUAUAAAGAGUAAUUAAUGCGACCUUUGGCCUUAUAAUUAAGUAUGGUUAAAUUACAUUUUUUAAUUCUCUUAGUAUGUGAGACCCAAAUUAUUGAAUAUUUUUUUAGGUUGUUAUUCAAUUGAUGAGAAUGACAAAUUUAUGGCUACCAACAAUGAUGUUUAUUAUUUAAAGCUACUCAUUUUGAAGAAGUCGCAUACCAAUCCUUAAACUAAAUCAAUUAGGUCUUAACUACUUUUUUAUUUAAUUUUUUUUUUGUAAUGAGUUGGUCAACACUGAAGCCUUAAUUUUAUGUUUGAAAACUUUAUUUUAAAUACACUUCUAUUAAAAAUAAGAAUAAUGUUAGUAUAUUUAAUAGUUAUUACUACUUUGGUCCCACUCUGGAUGUGUUCGUUCUCUGAAGCUUCCCAUUUUCUCUCGAAGGUAAUUUUUGUCUAAUGUCUCUCUAAGUUUUGAAAAGUUUUCUCAAAGACUUGGCCACCACAUCCCCCCUGGACAAAAGUUUAAUUUGGUCAAAUUAAGCAGCCAGAAUUUUCUCCAGAAGCUCAAGGGAACCAUCUCACAUAUUAUUUGGAUUUCCUUUCUAUGCAAGCAAAUCAGCACUAUAAAUAGCGAACAUCUUGGCAUAAUGUUUCAUCGGUCAUACUUCCUCUCAAUAUUUCUGGUUUUCUCAGACAAAUUAAGAAGGGUGAAGAAUGGGGUUCUCAGCUAUACUAAGUUGCUUUGUGCCAUCAUCUUCCUCAUCCCGAGUCUUCAAUGAUGCUGGUGGGUCUAGUGUGAAGGAACCUAAGAGCAAGUCAUCGAAAUCUUCAUCAAGAGCUCCUAUCCCUGUCUCUUACUUCCCCGUUAACUCCUACCUCUCUCGCUUGUAGUGAUUAAUUUCACUGCAAGAGUUAGAAUUUGAAGAGUAUGAAUGGAUCAUUGAUUCAGUCUAGGUAUCAUAUGAUGGGGUUCUUCAUCAUGCAGUCGCUCAAGGAGUGAUGAUGGAGCUGGUUUUCAUGUAUUGUUUGAUGAUUAAUUUGCAAUAAUUUGAUUCAAGAAUAUCGUAUUAGAUCUUCAUCUUGUUAAUUUCCUCCAACUGCAUGCAAUGAAACAGCUGUUCGAUGAUACCAUGGAAUUACCUGCAAACAAAUAAGACAUCAAUCCCAAUUCUGAAAAUUCAGAAACAAGAAGAAAUUAAGUUCAGUUGGGGUUUCCAUUGGAAAUUAAGAAUUGGUACUUGAAAUGGCAAUAAGUGAUAACCAUAUGCGUACAGCUAGUUAAACCCCAGAAUCAGUUAGGGUUUAUCAUCAUGUAUUAAGCAAAAACUACUAAUUACAUUAUACAGAUGAUGAUCUAAAAGGAAGAAGUCUUAAAAGCCUAUUAUUCUUGUUUCCACAUGCACUAAAGGAAAACGGAAAAAUAAAGCCACCUGCUUUGCCUUUUCAUUCUCCCAAAAGUCUCCAAUAUGCACCUCAAAUCAAACCUAUGAAUCUCUGUCACUC